Lolium perenne is the source of this 336-nucleotide non-coding RNA. NCBI's taxonomy places the organism in Eukaryota, Viridiplantae, Streptophyta, Magnoliopsida, Poales, Poaceae. The record is from RefSeq and is a predicted model, not a curated record.
GUGCAGGUGGAUUCAUGCGAGUUUGUAAGUUGCUGCUCCUGCUCUCUGUCUACUUAUUUCUCUUUUUUGUCCAGGCCGCACAAGGAGCAGCGAGGAUGGUGGUGCUAGAGAUCCUCACAUGUAUGAUGGAAUGCCCCAAAGAGUAUGACCACUAUGCAUGUUGAGGAGUAUGGGUAGUAUGAAGAUUCAUGGAAGUAUCUGAAGAUUCAAAUAUUCAGUCCUAUCUCCACUCCAUGAGGGUUAAAUCGAAAAUUCAGACCGCUUUAGUCAAAGAUGUCUCGCAGCGAGGCCAUCAAUGGAAGAUCCCUUGUGCGUGUCGCCCACGUCCGGGGAUAC